GAUGAACGCUGGCGGCGUGCCUAAUACAUGCAAGUCGAGCGAACGGACGAGGAGCUUGCUUCUCUGAUGUUAGCGGCGGACGGGUGAGUAACACGUGGAUAACCUACCUAUAAGACUGGGAUAACUUCGGGAAACCGGAGCUAAUACCGGAUAAUAUUUUGAACCGCAUGGUUCAAAAGUGAAAGACGGUCUUGCUGUCACUUAUAGAUGGAUCCGCGCUGCAUUAGCUAGUUGGUAAGGUAACGGCUUACCAAGGCAACGAUGCAUAGCCGACCUGAGAGGGUGAUCGGCCACACUGGAACUGAGACACGGUCCAGACUCCUGCGGGAGGCAGCAGUAGGGAAUCUUCCGCAAUGGGCGAAAGCCUGACGGAGCAACGCCGCGUGAGUGAUGAAGGUCUUCGGAUCGUAAAACUCUGUUAUUAGGGAAGAACAUAUGUGUAAGUAACUGUGCACAUCUUGACGGUACCUAAUCAGAAAGCCACGGCUAACUACGUGCCAGCAGCCGCGGUAAUACGUAGGUGGCAAGCGUUAUCCGGAAUUAUUGGGCGUAAAGCGCGCGUAGGCGGUUUUUUAAGUCUGAUGUGAAAGCCCACGGCUCAACCGUGGAGGGUCAUUGGAAACUGGAAAACUUGAGUGCAGAAGAGGAAAGUGGAAUUCCAUGUGUAGCGGUGAAAUGCGCAGAGAUAUGGAGGAACACCAGUGGCGAAGGCGACUUUCUGGUCUGUAACUGACGCUGAUGUGCGAAAGCGUGGGGAUCAAACAGGAUUAGAUACCCUGGUAGUCCACGCCGUAAACGAUGAGUGCUAAGUGUUAGGGGGUUUCCGCCCCUUAGUGCUGCAGCUAACGCAUUAAGCACUCCGCCUGGGGAGUACGACCGCAAGGUUGAAACUCAAAGGAAUUGACGGGGACCCGCACAAGCGGUGGAGCAUGUGGUUUAAUUCGAAGCAACGCGAAGAACCUUACCAAAUCUUGACAUCCUUUGACAACUCUAGAGAUAGAGCCUUCCCCUUCGGGGGACAAAGUGACAGGUGGUGCAUGGUUGUCGUCAGCUCGUGUCGUGAGAUGUUGGGUUAAGUCCCGCAACGAGCGCAACCCUUAAGCUUAGUUGCCAUCAUUAAGUUGGGCACUCUAAGUUGACUGCCGGUGACAAACCGGAGGAAGGUGGGGAUGACGUCAAAUCACCAUGCCCCUUAUGAUUUGGGCUACACACGUGCUACAAUGGACAAUACAAAGGGCAGCGAAACCGCGAGGUCAAGCAAAUCCCAUAAAGUUGUUCUCAGUUCGGAUUGUAGUCUGCAACUCGACUACAUGAAGCUGGAAUCGCUAGUAAUCGUAGAUCAGCAUGCUACGGUGAAUACGUUCCCGGGUCU
RNAcentral lists this ribosomal RNA (1372 nucleotides) under uncultured bacterium. RNAcentral's name for it is "bacterial SSU rRNA". It matches the Rfam family "Bacterial small subunit ribosomal RNA", at positions 28 to 1381 of the family's 1533-position model. The record is from RNAcentral.